Molecule: ribosomal RNA, 253 nt
Filed under: uncultured bacterium
Lineage: Bacteria
Description: partial 16S ribosomal RNA
Rfam family: Bacterial small subunit ribosomal RNA
Source: RNAcentral
GACGAACCGUCCUAACGUUGUUCGGAAUCACUGGGCUUAAAGGGCGCGUAGGCGGGUUCCCAAGUCGGUGGUGAAAUCUUUCGGCCCAACCGGAAAACAGCCGCCGAUACUGGGAGUCUUGAGGGAGGUAGGGGUCGAUGGAACUUCCGGUGGAGCGGUGAAAUGCGUAGAUAUCGGAAGGAACGCCGGUGGCGAAGGCGGCUCGCUGGACCGGUUCUGACGCUGAGGCGCGAAAGCGUGGGGAGCAAACGGG